Molecule: non-coding RNA, 5025 nt
Organism: Xyrichtys novacula (pearly razorfish)
Lineage: Eukaryota; Metazoa; Chordata; Actinopteri; Labriformes; Labridae
Source: the annotation of a GenBank genome assembly
UGUCAAUCGUGGCAACAGAUGACAGACAAGAUGCAAUGGAGCAACUUAUAGAGCACUACUUCCCAUGGACACUCCGUUUCAUUGCAAGAAGAAGUCAAGUUAUGGAACUGCGUUCAGAACCCACGACAAUCGAAAAACUGUUUGUUAGCAUCUGAAAUCUUUGCAUUUGGAAAGCAGGUGAUUUGGGCGCUGCGUACCCAUCCCGCAUGUCCCGUGAGUUUCCGUAGUGUAGUGGUUAUCACGUUCGCCUAACACGCGAAAGGUCCCCGGUUCGAAACCGGGCGGAAACAGCUUGAUGUCCCCUCCUGUUCGACUCAGACGCUCAAUGGUGGCUCACUUAAACCCGCCUUAAUACUGAGUUCAAGGAGCUGAUAGAAAUUUUGUUAUCAGAGGCCCUCCCAUAACAUACUAAUAACAUUCCCAAAUACCAUUUUAGCAGGCCCGGCUUAAAGGCAAGGAAUCCAUCACCUGUCCUUCUCUGUGUACACCAUCAAAUAGGGCUUGGAGGUAGAGAAAGGUGACAUGAAGGGGUAACAUGACUCCCAGUCAGAAUUUCUCAUCCCUUUUUUUCUUUUCUUUCUUGUUUUUUCCUCCGGCAGAUUGAGACCCUCUUUGCAUGCAAUGUCAUUCAUUUGACCUCCUCCUUUGUAGGAUGGAAGGCUGACAGUUUGUCAGCUGACCUGAGCUGGAGAGCGGGAUGAUCUCCUAGCCCCCGGUCUUUGUGGGCUUAAAAUCAGCUGCUGGAGCAAAGGAAUAAUCUCCCCGUCGGGGAAUCGAACCCCGGUCUUCCGCGUGACAGGCGGAGAUACUGUCCACUAUACUAACGAGGACUCACUUUCAGCGCGUGGAGCGCGGACAUCGCUGAGUUCCCCGCUUGGAAUGAACAGCCGCAACCAUGGCAGGGCGCACGGAAAUGAUGUCGAAGAGAGAGCUACAGUCGCAGCUGCAGCUUGCGGACUCCGUCCUAUGGACAGAUAGCACGGCUGUUCUUAAGAACAUCAACAAUGAAACAACUAGGUUCCGCACAUUCGUUGCCAACAGAGUGUCAGAAAUAAUGACAGUGUCAAUCGUGGCAACAGAUGACAGACAAGAUGCAAUGGAGCAACUUAUAGAGCACUACUUCCCAUGGACACCCCGUUUCAUUGCAAGAAGAAGUCAAGUUAUGGAACUGCGUUCAGAACCCACGACAAUCGAAAAACUGUUUGUUAGCAUCUGAAAUCUUGGCAUUUGGAAAGCAGGUGAUUUGGGCGCUGCGUACCCAUCCCGCAUGUCCCGUGAGUUUCCGUAGUGUAGUGGUUAUCACGUUCGCCUCACACGCGAAAGGUCCCCGGUUCGAAACCGGGCGGAAACAACUUGAUGUCCCCUCCUGUUUAACUCAGAUAUCAAUGGUGGCGCACUUAAACCCGCCUUAAUACUGAGUUCAAGGAGCUGAUAGAAAUUUUGUUAUCAGAGGCCCUCCCAUAACAUACUAAUAACAUUCCCAAAUACCAUUUUAGCAGGCCCGGCUUAAAGGCAAGGAAUCCAUCACCUGUCCUUCUCUGUGUACACCAUCAAAAAGGGCUUGGAGGUAGAGAAAGGUGACAUGAAGGGGUAACAUGACUCCCAGUCAGAAUUUCUCAUCCCUUUUUUUCUUUUCUUUCUUGUUUUUUCCUCCGGCAGAUUGAGACCCUCUUUGCAUGCAAUCUCAUUCAUUUGACCUCCUCCUUUGUAGGAUAGAAGGCUGACAGUUUGUCAGCUGACCUGGGCUGGAGAGCGGGUUGAUCUCCUAGCCCCCGGUCUUUGUGGGCUUAAAAUCAGCUGCUGGAGCAAAGGAAUAAUCUCCCCGUCGGGGAAUCGAACCCCGGUCUUCCGCGUGACAGGCGGAGAUACUGUCCACUAUACUAACGAGGACUCACUUUCAGCGCGUGGAGCGCGGACAUCGCUGAGUUCCCCGCUUGGAAUGAACAGCCGCAACCAUGGCAGGGCGCACGGAAAUGAUGUCGAAGAGAGAGCUACAGUCGCAGCUGCAGCUUGCGGACUCCGUCCUAUGGACAGAUAGCACGGCUGUUCUUAAGAACAUCAACAAUGAAACAACUAGGUUCCGCACAUUCGUUGCCAACAGAGUGUCAGAAAUAAUGACAGUGUCAAUCGUGGCAACAGAUGACAGACAAGAUGCAAUGGAGCAACUUAUAGAGCACUACUUCCCAUGGACACCCCGUUUCAUUGCAAGAAGAAGUCAAGUUAUGGAACUGCGUUCAGAACCCACGACAAUCGAAAAACUGUUUGUUAGCAUCUGAAAUCUUGGCAUUUGGAAAGCAGGUGAUUUGGGCGCUGCGUACCCUUCCCGCAUGUCCCGUGAGUUUCUGUAGUCUAGUGGUUAUCACGUUCGCCUCACACGCGAAAGGUCCCCGGUUCGAAACCGGGCGGCAACAGCUUGAUGUCCCCUCCUGUUCGACUCAGACGCUCAAUGGUGGCUCACUUAAACCCGCCUUAAUACUGAGUUCAAGGAGCUGAUAGAAAUUUUGUUAUCAGAGGCCCUCCCAUAACAUACUAAUAACAUUCCCAAAUACCAUUUUAGCAGGCCCGGCUUAAAGGCAAGGAAUCCAUCACCUGUCCUUCUCUGUGUACACCAUCAAAUAGGGCUUGGAGGUAGAGAAAGGUGACAUGAAGGGGUAACAUGACUCCCAGUCAGAAUUUCUCAUCCCUUUUUUCUUUUCUUUCUUGUUUUUUCCUCCGGCAGAUUGAGACCCUCUUUGCAUGCAAUCUCAUUCAUUUGACCUCCUCCUUUGUAGGAUGGAAGGCUGACAGUUUGUCAGCUGACCUGGGCAGGAGAGCGGGAUGAUCUCCUAGCCCCCGGUCUUUGUGGGCUUAAAAUCAGCUGCUGGAGCAAAGGAAUAAUCUCCCCGUCGGGGAAUCGAACCCCGGUCUUCCGCGUGACAGGCGGAGAUACUGUCCACUAUAGUAACGAGGACUCACGUGUUGCCACUUUCAGCGCGUGGAGCGCGGACAUCGCUGAGUUCCCCGCUUGGAAUGAACAGCCGCAACCAUGGCAGGGCGCACGGAAAUGAUGUCGAAGAGAGAGCUACAGUCGCAGCUGCAGCUUGCGGACUCCGUCCUAUGGACAGAUAGCACGGCUGUUCUUAAGAACAUCAACAAUGAAACAACUAGGUUCCGCACAUUCGUUGCCAACAGAGUGUCAGAAAUUAUGACAGUGUCAAUCGUGGCAACAGAUGACAGACAAGAUGCAAUGGAGCAACUUAUAGAGCACUACUUCCCAUGGACACUCCGUUUCAUUGCAAGAAGAAGUCAAGUUAUGGAACUGCGUUCAGAACCCACGACAAUCGAAAAACUGUUUGUUAGCAUCUGAAAUCUUGGCAUUUGGAAAGCAGGUGAUUUGGGCACUGCGUACCCUUCCCGCAUGUCCCGUGAGUUUCCGUAGUGUAGUGGUUAUCACGUUCGCCUCACACGCGAAAGGUCCCCGGUUCGAAACCGGGCGGAAACAGCUUGAUGUCCCCUCCUGUUCGACUCAGACGCUCAAUGGUGGCUCAUUUAAACCCGCCUUAAUACUGAGUUCAAGGAGCUGAUAGAAAUUUUGUUAUCAGAGGCCCUCCCAUAACAUACUAAUAACAUUCCCAAAUACCAUUUUAGCAGGCCCGGCUUAAAGGCAAGGAAUCCAUCACCUGUCCUUCUCUGUGUACACCAUCAAAUAGGGCUUGGAGGUAGAGAAAGGUGACAUGAAGGGGUAACAUGACUCCCAGUCAGAAUUUCUCAUCCCUUUUUUUCUUUUCUUUCUUGUUUUUUCCUCCGGCAGAUUGAGGUCCUCUUUGCAUGCAAUCUCAUUCAUUUGACCUCCUCCUUUGUAGGAUGGAAGGCUGACAGUUUGUCAGCUGACCUGGGCUGGACAGCGGGUUGAUCUCCUAGCCCCCGGUCUUUGUGGGCUUAAAAUCAGCUGCUGGAGCAAAGGAAUAAUCUCCCCGUCGGGGAAUCGAACCCGGUCUUCCGCAUGACAGGCGGAGAUACUGUCCACUAUAAUAACGAGGACUCACGUGUUGCCACUUUCAACGCGUGGAGCGCGGACAUUGCUGAGUUCCCCGCUUGGAAUGAACAGCCGCAACCAUGGCAGGGCGCACGGAAAUGAUGUCGAAGAGAGAGCUACAGUCGCAGCUGCAGCUUGCGGACUCCGUCCUAUGGACAGAUAGCACGGCUGUUCUUAAGAACAUCAACAAUGAAACAACUAGGUUCCGCACAUUCGUUGCCAACAGAGUGUCAGAAAUAAUGACAGUGUCAAUCGUGGCAACAGAUGACAGACAAGAUGCAAUGGAGCAACUUAUAGAGCACUACUUCCCAUGGACACUCCGUUUCAUUGCAAGAAGAAGUCAAGUUAUGGAACUGCGUUCAGAACCCAAGACAAUCGAAAAACUGUUUGUUAGCAUCUGAAAUCUUUGCAUUUGGAAAGCAGGUGAGUUGGGCACUGCGUACCCUUCCCGCAUGUCCCGUGAGUUUCCGUAGUGUAGUGGUUAUCACGUUCGCCUCACACGCGAAAGGUCCCCGGUUCGAAACCGGGCGGAAACAGCUUGAUGUCCCCUCCUGUUCGACUCAGACGCUCAAUGGUGGCUCAUUUAAACCCGCCUUAAUACUGAGUUCAAGGAGCUGAUAGAAAUUUUGUUAUCAGAGGCCCUCCCAUAACAUACUAAUAACAUUCCCAAAUACCAUUUUAGCAGGCCCGGCUUAAAGGCAAGGAAUCCAUCACCUGUCCUUCUCUGUGUACACCAUCAAAUAGGGCUUGGAGGUAGAGAAAGGUGACAUGAAGGGGUAACAUGACUCCCAGUCAGAAUUUCUCAUCCCUUUUUUUCUUUUCUUUCUUGUUUUUUCCUCCGGCAGAUUGAGGUCCUCUUUGCAUGCAAUCUCAUUCAUUUGACCUCCUCCUUUGUAGGAUGGAAGGCUGACAGUUUGUCAGCUGACCUGAGCUGGAGAGCGGGAUGAUCUCCUAGCCCCCGGUCUUUGUGGGCUUAAAAUCAGCUGCUGGAGCAAAGGAAUAAUCUCCCC